Molecule: transfer RNA, 69 nt
Filed under: Chrotogale owstoni (Owston's palm civet)
Lineage: Eukaryota; Metazoa; Chordata; Mammalia; Carnivora; Viverridae
Description: tRNA-Trp
Rfam family: tRNA
About the family: Transfer RNA (tRNA) molecules are approximately 80 nucleotides in length. Their secondary structure includes four short double-helical elements and three loops (D, anti-codon, and T loops).
Source: RNAcentral
AGGAAUUUAGGUUAAAAUAGACCAAAAGCCUUCAAAGCUUUAAGUAGAACAUAACAGAUCUAAUUCCUG